RNAcentral lists this non-coding RNA (23 nucleotides) under Arabidopsis thaliana (thale cress). The record is from RNAcentral. Lineage: Eukaryota; Viridiplantae; Streptophyta; Magnoliopsida; Brassicales; Brassicaceae.
ACAUCAGUUGUCAUCUGCACCUA